AAACCAAUCCAGCUUGCUGGGUCUUGGGCUUUCGCCUCUGGGCGGGCCUCAAAAUCAGUGGCGGUGCUGUCUAGCUCUAAGCGUAGUAAUACUUCUCGCUAUGGACACUAGGCGGUGACUUGCCAAUAACCCCUUAUUUUUCAAA
This 145-nucleotide unclassified non-coding RNA is filed under the name uncultured Helotiaceae. RNAcentral's name for it is "sequence contains ITS2". The record is from RNAcentral. Lineage: Eukaryota; Fungi; Ascomycota; Leotiomycetes; Helotiales; Helotiaceae.